Molecule: ribosomal RNA, 469 nt
Filed under: uncultured bacterium
Lineage: Bacteria
Description: bacterial SSU rRNA
Rfam family: Bacterial small subunit ribosomal RNA
Source: RNAcentral
UAGUCCACGCCGUAAACGAUGUCUACUCGGAAUUUGGCCUCUUGAAGACUGGGUUCUCAAGCUAACGCAUUAAGUAGACCGCCUGGGGAGUACGGCUGCAAGGUUAAAACUCAAAUGAAUUGACGGGGGCCCGCACAAGCGGUGGAGCAUGUGGUUUAAUUCGAUGCAACGCGAAGAACCUUACCUACUCUUGACAUCCAGAGAAGUUACCAGAGAUGGUUUCGUGCCUUCGGGAACUCUGAGACAGGUGCUGCAUGGCUGUCGUCAGCUCGUGUUGUGAAAUGUUGGGUUAAGUCCCGCAACGAGCGCAACCCUUAUCCUUAUUUGCCAGCACUUCGGGUGGGAACUUUAGGGAGACUGCCGGUGAUAAACCGGAGGAAGGUGGGGACGACGUCAAGGUCAUCAUGGCCCUUAGAGUAGGGGCUACACACGUGCUACAAUGGGGCAUUACAGAGGGGUUGCGAAGCCG